Molecule: ribosomal RNA, 464 nt
Filed under: Vreelandella stevensii
Lineage: Bacteria; Pseudomonadati; Pseudomonadota; Gammaproteobacteria; Oceanospirillales; Halomonadaceae
Description: partial 16S ribosomal RNA
Rfam family: Bacterial small subunit ribosomal RNA
Source: RNAcentral
CCUACGGGUGGCAGCAGUGGGGAAUAUUGGACAAUGGGCGAAAGCCUGAUCCAGCCAUGCCGCGUGUGUGAAGAAGGCCUUCGGGUUGUAAAGCACUUUCAGUGGGGAAGAAAGCCUUGGGGCUAAUACCCUCGAGGAAGGACAUCACCCACAGAAGAAGCACCGGCUAACUCCGUGCCAGCAGCCGCGGUAAUACGGAGGGUGCGAGCGUUAAUCGGAAUUACUGGGCGUAAAGCGCGCGUAGGCGGUCUGAUAAGCCGGUUGUGAAAGCCCCGGGCUCACCUGGGAACGGCAUCCGGAACUGUCAGGCUAGAGUGCAGGAGAGGAAGGUAGAAUUCCCGGUGUAGCGGUGAAAUGCGUAGAGAUCGGGAGGAAUACCAGUGGCGAAGGCGGCCUUCUGGACUGACACUGACGCUGAGGUGCGAAAGCGUGGGUAGCAAACAGGAUUAGAUACCCCAGUAGUC